UUCUAUAGAAAAACGGUCAAA
This 21-nucleotide non-coding RNA is filed under the name Caenorhabditis elegans. The record is from RNAcentral. Lineage: Eukaryota; Metazoa; Nematoda; Chromadorea; Rhabditida; Rhabditidae.